Molecule: long non-coding RNA, 248 nt
Filed under: Lathyrus oleraceus (garden pea)
Lineage: Eukaryota; Viridiplantae; Streptophyta; Magnoliopsida; Fabales; Fabaceae
Description: Pisum sativum (pea) long non-coding RNA (PSAT_LNC022111)
Source: RNAcentral
AAUAAGCUUAUGGCUAUAAAAGAGGACAGAAAGGUAGGAUUUAGGUAUCAAGGAAAUCAAUUAGGAUUCACCAUCUUGGUGAGGGAAGCACUGUGUGCUUAGGGGAUGAUUGGUAUUCACCAUCAGUUGUUACUUUCAUUAUUAUUUUACAAUCGAUUUCUUUUAUUAUUCCAUUCAAUUAUUCUCUAUUUCUCCCAUAUAUUCAUAUAAGAACCUAACAAUUGGUCCGACCUACCGGAUCAAAAAAA